AUACGUAGGGUGCAAGCGUUAAUCGGAAUUACUGGGCGUAAAGCGUGCGCAGGCGGUUUUGUAAGACAGAGGUGAAAUCCCCCGGCUCAACCUGGGAACUGCCUUUGUGACUGCAAGGCUAGAGUACGGCAGAGGGGGGUGGAAUUCCGCGUGUAGCAGUGAAAUGCGUAGAUAUGCGGAGGAACAACGAUGGCGAAGGCAAUCCCCUGGGCCUGUACUGACGCUCAUGCACGAAAGCGUGGGGAGCAAACAGGAUUAGAUACCCUGGUAGUCCACGCCCUAAACGAUGUCAACUGGUUGUUGGGUCUUCAUUGACUCAGUAACGAAGCUAACGCGUGAAGUUGACCGCCUGGGGAGUACGGCCGCAAGGUUGAAACUCAAAUGAAUUGACGGG
Molecule: ribosomal RNA, 394 nt
Filed under: uncultured bacterium
Lineage: Bacteria
Description: partial 16S ribosomal RNA
Rfam family: Bacterial small subunit ribosomal RNA
Source: RNAcentral